CCUACGGGUGGCAGCAGUGAGGAAUAUUGGUCAAUGGCCGAGAGGCUGAACCAGCCAAGUCGCGUGAGGGAAGACGGCCCUACGGGUUGUAAACCUCUUUUAUCCGGGAGCAAAGCGCACCACGUGUGGUUCAUUGAGCGUACCCGAAGAAAAAGCAUCGGCUAACUCCGUGCCCGCGGCCGCGGUACUACGGAGGAUGCGAGCGUUAUCCGGAUUUCUUGGGUUUAAAGGGUGCGCAGGCGGCGGUGCAAGUCAGCGGUCAAAGUGCGGGGCUCAACCCCGUACUGCCGUUGAAACUGCAUCCCUUGAGUGCGAGAGAAGUAUGCGGAAUGGGUGGUGUAGCGGUGAAAUGCAUAGAUAUCACGCAGAACUCCGAUUGCGAAGGCAGCAUACCGGCGCGCAACUGACGCUCAUGCACGAAAGCGUGGGUAUCGAACAGGAUUAGAUACCCGAGUAGU
This 458-nucleotide ribosomal RNA is filed under the name uncultured bacterium. RNAcentral's name for it is "partial 16S ribosomal RNA". It matches the Rfam family "Bacterial small subunit ribosomal RNA", at positions 338 to 794 of the family's 1533-position model. The record is from RNAcentral.